RNAcentral lists this ribosomal RNA (2929 nucleotides) under Escherichia coli O157. RNAcentral describes it as "23S ribosomal RNA". It matches the Rfam family "Bacterial large subunit ribosomal RNA". The record is from RNAcentral. Lineage: Bacteria; Pseudomonadati; Pseudomonadota; Gammaproteobacteria; Enterobacterales; Enterobacteriaceae.
GGGUUGUGAGGUUAAGCGACUAAGCGUACACGGUGGAUGCCCUGGCAGUCAGAGGCGAUGAAGGACGUGCUAAUCUGCGAUAAGCGUCGGUAAGGUGAUAUGAACCGUUAUAACCGGCGAUUUCCGAAUGGGGAAACCCAGUGUGAUUCGUCACACUAUCAUUAACUGAAUCCAUAGGUUAAUGAGGCGAACCGGGGGAACUGAAACAUCUAAGUACCCCGAGGAAAAGAAAUCAACCGAGAUUCCCCCAGUAGCGGCGAGCGAACGGGGAGCAGCCCAGAGCCUGAAUCAGUGUGUGUGUUAGUGGAAGCGUCUGGAAAGGCGCGCGAUACAGGGUGACAGCCCCGUACACAAAAAUGCACAUACUGUGAGCUCGAUGAGUAGGGCGGGACACGUGGUAUCCUGUCUGAAUAUGGGGGGACCAUCCUCCAAGGCUAAAUACUCCUGACUGACCGAUAGUGAACCAGUACCGUGAGGGAAAGGCGAAAAGAACCCCGGCGAGGGGAGUGAAAAAGAACCUGAAACCGUGUACGUACAAGCAGUGGGAGCCUCUUUUAUGGGGUGACUGCGUACCUUUUGUAUAAUGGGUCAGCGACUUAUAUUCUGUAGCAAGGUUAACCGAAUAGGGGAGCCGAAGGGAAACCGAGUCUUAACCGGGCGUUAAGUUGCAGGGUAUAGACCCGAAACCCGGUGAUCUAGCCAUGGGCAGGUUGAAGGUUGGGUAACACUAACUGGAGGACCGAACCGACUAAUGUUGAAAAAUUAGCGGAUGACUUGUGGCUGGGGGUGAAAGGCCAAUCAAACCGGGAGAUAGCUGGUUCUCCCCGAAAGCUAUUUAGGUAGCGCCUCGUGAAUUCAUCUCCGGGGGUAGAGCACUGUUUCGGCAAGGGGGUCAUCCCGACUUACCAACCCGAUGCAAACUGCGAAUACCGGAGAAUGUUAUCACGGGAGACACACGGCGGGUGCUAACGUCCGUCGUGAAGAGGGAAACAACCCAGACCGCCAGCUAAGGUCCCAAAGUCAUGGUUAAGUGGGAAACGAUGUGGGAAGGCCCAGACAGCCAGGAUGUUGGCUUAGAAGCAGCCAUCAUUUAAAGAAAGCGUAAUAGCUCACUGGUCGAGUCGGCCUGCGCGGAAGAUGUAACGGGGCUAAACCAUGCACCGAAGCUGCGGCAGCGACACUGUGUGUUGUUGGGUAGGGGAGCGUUCUGUAAGCCUGUGAAGGUGUACUGUGAGGUAUGCUGGAGGUAUCAGAAGUGCGAAUGCUGACAUAAGUAACGAUAAAGCGGGUGAAAAGCCCGCUCGCCGGAAGACCAAGGGUUCCUGUCCAACGUUAAUCGGGGCAGGGUGAGUCGACCCCUAAGGCGAGGCCGAAAGGCGUAGUCGAUGGGAAACAGGUUAAUAUUCCUGUACUUGGUGUUACUGCGAAGGGGGACGGAGAAGGCUAUGUUGGCCGGGCGACGGUUGUCCCGGUUUAAGCGUGUAGGCUGGUUUUCCAGGCAAAUCCGGAAAAUCAAGGCUGAGGCGUGAUGACGAGGCACUACGGUGCUGAAGCAACAAAUGCCCUGCUUCCAGGAAAAGCCUCUAAGCAUCAGGUAACAUCAAAUCGUACCCCAAACCGACACAGGUGGUCAGGUAGAGAAUACCAAGGCGCUUGAGAGAACUCGGGUGAAGGAACUAGGCAAAAUGGUGCCGUAACUUCGGGAGAAGGCACGCUGAUAUGUAGGUGAAGUCCCUCGCGGAUGGAGCUGAAAUCAGUCGAAGAUACCAGCUGGCUGCAACUGUUUAUUAAAAACACAGCACUGUGCAAACACGAAAGUGGACGUAUACGGUGUGACGCCUGCCCGGUGCCGGAAGGUUAAUUGAUGGGGUCAGCGCAAGCGAAGCUCUUGAUCGAAGCCCCGGUAAACGGCGGCCGUAACUAUAACGGUCCUAAGGUAGCGAAAUUCCUUGUCGGGUAAGUUCCGACCUGCACGAAUGGCGUAAUGAUGGCCAGGCUGUCUCCACCCGAGACUCAGUGAAAUUGAACUCGCUGUGAAGAUGCAGUGUACCCGCGGCAAGACGGAAAGACCCCGUGAACCUUUACUAUAGCUUGACACUGAACAUUGAGCCUUGAUGUGUAGGAUAGGUGGGAGGCUUUGAAGUGUGGACGCCAGUCUGCAUGGAGCCGACCUUGAAAUACCACCCUUUAAUGUUUGAUGUUCUAACGUGGACCCGUGAUCCGGGUUGCGGACAGUGUCUGGUGGGUAGUUUGACUGGGGCGGUCUCCUCCUAAAGAGUAACGGAGGAGCACGAAGGUUGGCUAAUCCUGGUCGGACAUCAGGAGGUUAGUGCAAUGGCAUAAGCCAGCUUGACUGCGAGCGUGACGGCGCGAGCAGGUGCGAAAGCAGGUCAUAGUGAUCCGGUGGUUCUGAAUGGAAGGGCCAUCGCUCAACGGAUAAAAGGUACUCCGGGGAUAACAGGCUGAUACCGCCCAAGAGUUCAUAUCGACGGCGGUGUUUGGCACCUCGAUGUCGGCUCAUCACAUCCUGGGGCUGAAGUAGGUCCCAAGGGUAUGGCUGUUCGCCAUUUAAAGUGGUACGCGAGCUGGGUUUAGAACGUCGUGAGACAGUUCGGUCCCUAUCUGCCGUGGGCGCUGGAGAACUGAGGGGGGCUGCUCCUAGUACGAGAGGACCGGAGUGGACGCAUCACUGGUGUUCGGGUUGUCAUGCCAAUGGCACUGCCCGGUAGCUAAAUGCGGAAGAGAUAAGUGCUGAAAGCAUCUAAGCACGAAACUUGCCCCGAGAUGAGUUCUCCCUGACCCUUUAAGGGUCCUGAAGGAACGUUGAAGACGACGACGUUGAUAGGCCGGGUGUGUAAGCGCAGCGAUGCGUUGAGCUAACCGGUACUAAUGAACCGUGAGGCUUAACCUUACAACGCCGAAGGUGUUU